Molecule: non-coding RNA, 267 nt
Filed under: Paenibacillus polymyxa
Lineage: Bacteria; Bacillati; Bacillota; Bacilli; Caryophanales; Paenibacillaceae
Description: T-box sequence
Rfam family: T-box leader
About the family: Uncharged tRNA acts as the effector for transcription antitermination of genes in the T-box leader family. T-boxes are found upstream of many aminoacyl-tRNA synthetase genes and some amino acid biosynthetic genes usually in Gram-positive bacteria.
Source: RNAcentral
UGAAAAGCAGAGAAAGACUUCAGUAGAAGGCGGAAUCACGUUGUGCAGAGAGCCGAUGGGUGGUGUGAAUCGGUAGCGUCCCUCCUUUGAAUUACCGUCUGGAGCUGUCUGGAUGAAUGGAAGGCUUUUGCAGGUUUGCGAAGCUCAUCAUAGUAAUCCGGUACCGGGUGUAGACCCGUUAUAGGAAUGAAGUGAAAGAAACGUUUGCUUUUGCAUACGUUUCUUUAAUUAGGGUGGUAACGCGAGCAGCUCCUUCUCGUCCCUUGG